UACGUAGGGUGCAAGCGUUAAUCGGAAUUACUGGGCGUAAAGCGUGCGCAGGCGGUUCUAUAAGACAGAUGUGAAAUCCCCGGGCUCAACCUGGGAACUGCAUUUGUGACUGUAGAGCUGGAGUGCGGCAGAGGGGGGAUGGAAUUCCGCGUGUAGCAGUGAAAUGCGUAGAUAUGCGGAGGAACACCGAUGGCGAAGGCAAUCCCCUGGGCCUGCACUGACGCUCAUGCACGAAAGCGUGGGGAGCAAACAGG
RNAcentral lists this ribosomal RNA (254 nucleotides) under uncultured bacterium. Its description in RNAcentral is "partial 16S ribosomal RNA". It matches the Rfam family "Bacterial small subunit ribosomal RNA", at positions 524 to 776 of the family's 1533-position model. The record is from RNAcentral.